RNAcentral lists this ribosomal RNA (212 nucleotides) under Escherichia coli. RNAcentral's name for it is "partial 23S ribosomal RNA". It matches the Rfam family "Bacterial large subunit ribosomal RNA", at positions 1657 to 1851 of the family's 2925-position model. Lineage: Bacteria; Pseudomonadati; Pseudomonadota; Gammaproteobacteria; Enterobacterales; Enterobacteriaceae. The record is from RNAcentral.
ACACAGGUGGUCAGGUAGAGAAUACCAAGGCGCUUGAGAGAACUCGGGUGAAGGAACUAGGCAAAAUGGUGCCGUAACUUCGGGAGAAGGCACGCUGAUACGUAGGUGAAGCGACUUGCUCGUGGAGCUGAAAUCAGUCGAAGAUACCAGCUGGCUGCAACUGUUUAUUAAAAACACAGCACUGUGCAAACACGAAAGUGGACGUAUACGGU